RNAcentral lists this ribosomal RNA (274 nucleotides) under uncultured bacterium. RNAcentral describes it as "partial 16S ribosomal RNA". It matches the Rfam family "Bacterial small subunit ribosomal RNA", at positions 523 to 796 of the family's 1533-position model. The record is from RNAcentral.
AUACGGAGGGUGCGAGCGUUAAUCGGAAUUACUGGGCGUAAAGCGCGCGCAGGCGGCUGGGUCAGUCGGAUGUGAAAGCCCCGGGCUUAACCUGGGAAUUGCAUUCGAUACUGCCCGGCUAGAGUAUGGGAGAGGGAAGUGGAAUUUCCGGUGUAGCGGUGAAAUGCGUAGAUAUCGGAAGGAACACCAGUGGCGAAGGCGGCUUCCUGGCCCAAUACUGACGCUCAGGUGCGAAAGCGUGGGGAGCGAACAGGAUUAGAUACCCCAGUAGUCC